RNAcentral lists this ribosomal RNA (468 nucleotides) under uncultured bacterium. Its description in RNAcentral is "partial 16S ribosomal RNA". It matches the Rfam family "Bacterial small subunit ribosomal RNA", at positions 28 to 507 of the family's 1533-position model. The record is from RNAcentral.
GACGAACGCUGGCGGCGUGCUUAACACAUGCAAGUCGAACGGAAAGGCCCUGCUUUUGUGGGGUGCUCGAGUGGCGAACGGGUGAGUAACACGUGAGUAACCUGCCCUUGACUUUGGGAUAACUUCAGGAAACUGGGGCUAAUACCGGAUAUGAGCUCCUGCUGCAUGGUGGGGGUUGGAAAUUUUCGGCGGUUGGGGAUGGACCCGCGGCUGCUCAGCUUGUUGGUGGGGUAGUGGCUUGCCAAGGCUUUGUCGGGUAGCCGGCCUGAGAGGGUGACCGGCCACAUUGGGACUGAGAUACGGCCCAGCCUCCUACGGGAGGCAGCAGUGGCGGAUAUUGCACAAUGGGCGGAAGCCUGAUGCAGCAACGCCGCGUGCGGGAUGACGGCCUUCGGGUUGUAAACCGCUUUCGCCUGUGACGAAGCGUGAGUGACGGUAAUGGGUAAAGAAGCACCGGCUAACUUCGUG